This 459-nucleotide ribosomal RNA is filed under the name uncultured bacterium. RNAcentral's name for it is "bacterial SSU rRNA". It matches the Rfam family "Bacterial small subunit ribosomal RNA", at positions 28 to 496 of the family's 1533-position model. The record is from RNAcentral.
GACGAACGCUGGCGGCGUGCUUAACACAUGCAAGUCGAGCGGAAAGGCUCCUUCGGGGGUACUCGAGCGGCGAACGGGUGAGUAACACGUGAGCAAUCUGCCCUUGGCUUUGGGAUAACUACCGGAAACGGUGGCUAAUACCGGAUACGACCACUCCUUGCAGGAGGUGGUGGUGGAAAGUUUUUUCGGCCAGGGAUGUGCUCGCGGCCUAUCAGCUUGUUGGUGGGGUAAUGGCCUACCAAGGCUUCGACGGGUAGCCGGCCUGAGAGGGUGACCGGCCACACUGGGACUGAGACACGGCCCAGACUCCUACGGGAGGCAGCAGUGGGGAAUAUUGGACAAUGGGCGGAAGCCUGAUCCAGCAACGCCGCGUGAGGGAUGACGGCCUGGUGUAACUCUUCUAGUACCGACGAAGCGCCGAUGAUGGUGGUGACGGUAGGUACGAGAAGAAGACACCGG